This 92-nucleotide microRNA precursor is filed under the name Eutrema salsugineum. RNAcentral describes it as "mir-395 microRNA precursor family". It matches the Rfam family "mir-395 microRNA precursor family". From Rfam's summary of the family: mir-395 was identified in both Arabidopsis thaliana and Oryza sativa computationally and was later experimentally verified. mir-395 is thought to target mRNAs coding for ATP sulphurylases. The mature sequence is excised from the 3' arm of the hairpin. The record is from Rfam by way of RNAcentral. Lineage: Eukaryota; Viridiplantae; Streptophyta; Magnoliopsida; Brassicales; Brassicaceae.
AUGUCUCCUAGAGUUCCUCUGAGCACUUCAUUGGGAAUACAUUUUUCUAUGAUGUUACCCACUGAAGUGUUUGGGGGAACUCCCGGACCCAU